UAAUCCCAACUCACAUGUAUAUAAACUAUUGUGAAUGAUAUGUGGAUGGCCCACAUGAAUGUUUUAUUACUAUUUAUGCAUAGUAUUUUCACUAUUCAUUUAUGGAAAAUUUGUAAAGUGAAUAGUAUUCUCUUUGCUUAUAAAAUGAAUGGGAGGUGAAGAAGGAUGAGAGAUACAAAUGAGGAUAGAAGCAGCACGGAAGAGGAAAAGAGAAGAGAGGAAGAUGAGAGUAGAUAAUAGAGAGAGUUACUUUUGUACUUCUAUUAUUCUAAUUUAUAAUGAAAGCACUACCACUGUCCCGAGGACGUACUCCAGUCACACUGACUGUAGAGGAACCUCGUAAAUUAUGUGUCUUGUUUUAUUUAUUCCACUGCACACACCGUCGAUUUUAUAACACGUUAUCAACACGAGAUGCUCUCAUGUCAGUGGAAAGCAUAACGCCAUAAAUUCGGAUAAACACAAGUCGAACUUGAGGAAUUAUGAGCAGUUUAGCUCUGAGAAUGAGCACCAAAAAAAUCACAUGGUAGAGAGGGCAAGCUAGACACUGCAAACAGGGAAGAUCAUCUUGUCCCAAAAAUCCAUCAACCUUUCUUUUAUCACUUUUUCUUUUUAUCACUCUAACUAUUGAUGUGCUGAUCUUUAUCCCUGCUAGACCUGUAAUCUCGUAUCUCUCUUGUGGACAAGAGAGAUGGAGAGAUCUUACAGACAAACAAAGGUACAGCAAAACAAGCAAAGAGAUCCAGAAGAAUCUCAUCAGACUUGGAAACCCAGAUCGCGUCGUUUUUUACGGAUCUCGAUAACUCCCAUGAAUACUUGGUUGUUUGAGAUGGUGAUGGCAAGAAUGACUCCACACAAGCCUCUCUCUCUUGUGCCUCCGUCAACCCCACUGUCAUCUAUGUCUUUGUAAGGAGGUUCUUGCUUUGCGAUGCCAUGUUCUCUGGACCAUGCAAGAACAACGCCAGUCUUUGGUAGCCUUUUUGGAUUGAAUUAGUUUUGUGUGACCUCCACAACAACCUAGCUGGUCCUAAGUUUCGAGAUUUGUAGAGACAGACAAAGAAAGAAAAGAGGGGAAGUUUAUGGAAUAUGUAUGGCACCAUCUAAAAAAGGCAAUAAUGCACGGCACCAUUUGAAAACGCAAGAAAUAAAAAAUUUAAAAAUUUAAAAAAUGAAAAUAGCAGAAUGAUGCAUCUGCACCAUUUGAAUGAAAAAUAAUAAUGGGGCCAAAGUUUUUGGAAUGUUGCAACAUGUAAAUGAAUAAGAAAAAUAUUAUUAUUAUUUUUCUUAUUCAUUCACAUGUUGCAACAUUUCAAAAACUUUGGCUCCAUUAUUAUUUUUCAUUCAAAUGGUGCUGAUGCAUCAUUCUGCUUUUUUCAUUUUAGAUGGUGUUACACCAUUUGAAAAGAAAGAAGAAAAUAUAUAUGUAUUUAUUUAUGUGAAUGGUCACAAGCUCUAUUUACUUUAAAGCAAUUUAUUUACCAUAGACGGUUUUAUUGCCUACUGCUUUAAGUUUUGAUUUAUGUGAAUGGUGCUGAAUUAAAGCCCUUGUCACAAGCUUUAUUUACUUGUAUACAAUUUAUUCACUAUGGCUGGAA
This is a long non-coding RNA of Pyrus x bretschneideri (Chinese white pear), 1592 nucleotides long. RefSeq lists it as uncharacterized. The record is from RefSeq and is a predicted model, not a curated record. Lineage: Eukaryota; Viridiplantae; Streptophyta; Magnoliopsida; Rosales; Rosaceae. The transcript has 2 exons.